Gasterosteus aculeatus aculeatus (three-spined stickleback) is the source of this 1014-nucleotide long non-coding RNA. NCBI's taxonomy places the organism in Eukaryota, Metazoa, Chordata, Actinopteri, Perciformes, Gasterosteidae. The record is from Ensembl.
UAUAGACCUGCACCAGCUGCAUCCAAUAAUGAAGGGGAGGAGUCCAGGUCGGUCGUAUCCAAUCGUCUGCACCUUGGGUGAAGGGUAGCCAUCUUGCCUGCAGAUUUCCUGUACAUGGAGAGACAGGACACAAACCAACACAAACACCCCCAAAACGUAACACGCCCCCCCCAAAAAAAGGUGCAAAACUAUCCAGGAUUGCACCAUCCAUUCUAUCACAGUAAAACAUACUACAAACACCAAAACAACACUAGUGUGCACGAGACAACGCAUCUGCAACAAUGUUGUCCGAUCCCUUUUUAUAUUUGAUGCACAAGUUGUAACUCUGCACAAUUAGCGCCCACCUCAUGAGCCGGCGGUUCUGAUUGUACAUCCUGUGGAGAAAAAUUAGCGGAUUGUGGUCAGUAAACACCACCACAGGGACAACACUAGACCCGACGUACACUUCGAAAAAUUGAAGGGCUAAUAACAAAGCCAAUGUCUCCUGCUCGAUGGUGGAGUACCUUGUCUGACAGUCACUGAAUUUUUUUGAAAAGAAACAAACGGGUCUAUCGAUCCCUUCACCGUCCUCCUGUAAGAGGACGGCGCCUGCGCCCACGGCGCUAGCGUCAACCUCCAUUUUAAAAGGUUUGCUAAAAUCAGGGGCUGCAAGCACCGGGGCAGUACACAGGAGUAGCUUCGCGGAAUUGAACGAAUGCUCACAUUCCGGAGACCACUUAAACGGAACCUUGGGUGACAAAAGCGAAGACAGGGGGGCUACCACCGUCGAAAAGUUUUUGCAAAACGUACGGUAAUAACCCACCAUACCUAGGAAACGGCGAAGCUCACGGCGCGUAACAGGGGCAGGGAAACUAGCUAUGGCUUCCACCUUGCUAGCUAACAACCGAACCUGCCCAUGUCCCACCUGUUUUCCAAGGUACGUCAUGAAACAAGGUACGCCCCCGCCUGCAGCGCAACAGUGGCCACUGAAGAGACAGCGGGCUGGAUGGGCUUAUUGGAGAGAGUGUUAGAAGG